CCUACGGGAGGCAGCAGUGAGGAAUAUUGGUCAAUGGACGGAAGUCUGAACCAGCCAUGCCGCGUGCAGGAAGACGGCUCUAUGAGUUGUAAACUGCUUUUGUACAAGGGUAAACCUGAAUACGUGUAUUCAGCUGAAAGUACCGUACGAAUAAGGAUCGGCUAACUCCGUGCCAGCAGCCGCGGUAAUACGGAGGAUUCAAGCGUUAUCCGGAUUUAUUGGGUUAAAGGGUGCGUAGGGGGGUUGAUAAGUUAGGAGUUAAAAGUCCGGGCUUAAACCGGGAACUGCCGUUAAUACUGUUGUUCUAGAGAGGAGGUGCGGUAGGCGGAAUGUAUGGUGUAGCGGUGAAAUGCUUAGAGAUCAUACAGAACACCGAUUGCGAAGGCAGCUUACCAAUCUAUAUCUGACGUUGAGGCACGAAAGCGUGGGGAGCAAACAGGAUUAGAUACCCCUGUAGUC
RNAcentral lists this ribosomal RNA (459 nucleotides) under uncultured bacterium. Its description in RNAcentral is "partial 16S ribosomal RNA". It matches the Rfam family "Bacterial small subunit ribosomal RNA", at positions 338 to 795 of the family's 1533-position model. The record is from RNAcentral.